UACGAAGGGGGCUAGCGUUGUUCGGAUUUACUGGGCGUAAAGCGCACGUAGGCGGAUAGUUAAGUCGGGGGUGAAAUCCUGGAGCUCAACUCCAGAACUGCCUUCGAUACUGGCGAUCUUGAGUCCGGAAGAGGUGAGUGGAACUCCUAGUGUAGAGGUGGAAUUCGUAGAUAUUAGGAAGAACACCAGUGGCGAAGGCGGCUCACUGGUCCGGUACUGACGCUGAGGUGCGAAAGCGUGGGGAGCAAACAGG
This 253-nucleotide ribosomal RNA is filed under the name uncultured bacterium. RNAcentral describes it as "partial 16S ribosomal RNA". It matches the Rfam family "Bacterial small subunit ribosomal RNA", at positions 524 to 776 of the family's 1533-position model. The record is from RNAcentral.